Molecule: ribosomal RNA, 497 nt
Filed under: uncultured bacterium
Lineage: Bacteria
Description: partial 16S ribosomal RNA
Rfam family: Bacterial small subunit ribosomal RNA
Source: RNAcentral
GAUGAACGCUGGCGGCGUGCCUAACACAUGCAAGUCGAGCGAACAGACGAGGAGCUUGCUCCUCUGACGUUAGCGGCGGACGGGUGAGUAACACGUGGAUAACCUACCUAUAAGACUGGGAUAACUUCGGGAAACCGGAUCUAAUACCGGAUAAUAUAUUGAACCGCAUGGUUCAAUAGUGAAAGACGGUUCUGCUGUCACUUAUAGAUGGAUCCGCGCCGCAUUAGCUAGUUGGUAAGGUAACGGCUUACCAAGGCAACGAUGCGUAGCCGACCUGAGAGGGUGAUCAGCCACACUGGAACUGAGACACGGUCCAGACUCCUACGGGAGGCAGCAGUAGGGAAUCUUCCGCAAUGGGCGAAAGCCUGACGGAGCAACGCCGCGUGAGUGAUGAAGGUCUUCGGAUCGUAAAACUCUGUUAGUAGGGAAGAACAAAUGUGUAAGUAACUAUGCACGUCUUGACGGUACCUAAUCAGAAAGCCACGGCUAACUACGUG